ACGGGUGAGUAAUGUCUGGGGAUCUGCCCGAUAGAGGGGGAUAACCACUGGAAACGGUGGCUAAUACCGCAUAACGUCUCAAGACCAAAGAGGGGGACCUUCGGGCCUCUCACUAUCGGAUGAACCCGGAUGGGAUUAGCUAGUAGGCGGGGUAACGGCCCACCUAGGCGACGAUCCCUAGCUGGUCUGAGAGGAUGACCAGCCACACUGGAACUGACACACGGUCCAGACUCCUACGGGAGGCAGCAGUGGGGAAUAUUGCACAAUGGGCGCAAGCCUGAUGCAGCCAUGCCGCGUGUAUGAAGAAGGCCUUCGGGUUGUAAAGUACUUUCAGCGGGGAGGAAGGCGAUGUGGUUAAUAACCGCAUUGAUUAACGUUACCCGCAAAAGAACCACCGGCUAACUCCGUGCCAGCAGCCGCGGUAAUACGGAGGGUGCAAGCGUUAAUCGGAAUUACUGGGCGUAAAGCGCACGCAGGCGGUCUGUUAAGUCAGAUGUGAAAUCCCCGGGCUUAACCUGGGAACUGCAUUUGAAACUGGCAGGCUUGAGUCUCGUAUAGGGGGGUAGAAUUCCAGGUGUA
This 579-nucleotide ribosomal RNA is filed under the name uncultured bacterium. RNAcentral's name for it is "bacterial SSU rRNA". It matches the Rfam family "Bacterial small subunit ribosomal RNA", at positions 102 to 677 of the family's 1533-position model. The record is from RNAcentral.